Molecule: transfer RNA, 71 nt
Organism: Camelus ferus (Wild Bactrian camel)
Lineage: Eukaryota; Metazoa; Chordata; Mammalia; Artiodactyla; Camelidae
Rfam family: tRNA
About the family: Transfer RNA (tRNA) molecules are approximately 80 nucleotides in length. Their secondary structure includes four short double-helical elements and three loops (D, anti-codon, and T loops).
Source: Rfam
GAGGGUGUAGCUCAAGGGCAGAGCGCGUGCUCAGCAUGCAUGAGGUCCUGGGUUCAAUCCCCAGUCCCUCU